RNAcentral lists this long non-coding RNA (2677 nucleotides) under Homo sapiens (human). RNAcentral's name for it is "HSALNT0302055". The record is from RNAcentral. Lineage: Eukaryota; Metazoa; Chordata; Mammalia; Primates; Hominidae.
AUCCAACUAGAAAACUAGAAACAUAAUCUGUUGUGUUGACUCCAUAGGUCUUGCUUCCCCUCAACCCAGACACCGACUCGCCCAAGGGUCUUCCAGCUGGCUGAGUUGGAACCUGCAUUUUUUAACCACAAGGAAAAGAAGCCCAGAGCUACCAAGAAUAAUAUUUUAUUGACUUGGAAUGAGUUUUGGAAUCUGUAUUUUUAACAAGCUGCCCAGUGAAAACCAUUUCCUCCUCGUCGUGGCGCAGGUCCAGAGGCUGCGCCCAUCUCUCCCACGUCAACAGUCCUGUGUCCUUGGCGAAGGACUGUUCUCUCAUUCAGUGCCUUUCCUCUCUUCCUGGGCCAAAUCCCUGCUUUGCGUCUCCCUGCAGCUCAUAAAAAGCUGAAUUACCUGAGGCAGGGAAAGCCCCACCCACUGUCAUUCUCAGGGAGGAGUGGAGUCUGCAGAGGCCGCAAUGCACAGCUUCCCUAUCCCCCUCCACCCGUGUUUUCCCAGAGCAGCUCUGUUCCAGGCCCGGGGGUGUCCCUGGGCCGAGAUGGAAUCCAGCCCUGACCACCUCCCAAAGCCAACAGCCCUGAGUGAGCGUGCAGAGAAGCAAGAGCUGUUCCUGAUGCAGAGCAAAGACAUCUCCCAGUCAAGGGGGAUGAACUGAUUUGGGACAAAAGGCAGUUGUUGGCUGAGGAAGGCAGGAUCUGGGGGAGCCCUGUGCUGAGUGGAGGUGGGUGGGUGUAUUUCCUUGGCUCACAGAGGCCUCUUGUCUGGUGGGAUCAGCUCCUCCAGCCAGUUGCCACCUGGUCCAGCUUUGGGAGAUGUGGAGAAUGACUUUCGCAGUGAUUUCCACUGGGCCAUGGCAUUGAAACAGCUGCAGGAGGGGACACAGCUGGUGCCACCCCUACUCCGUCCAUUAGAGCUGCUGUGAAGGAAUGCCACCCUCCCCAUGGGGAGUGAGGGGGCCCUACUUGCUGUGACGGUUGAGCCCAUAGAACAGGAGUGAGAAGAUGGAAGGGCGAGGGGGCUGGGAUGAUGAAAACUUGCGCCUGCAGCCACCAUUCAUUACAGAGCGCCGGGGGCCAGCUGCAGAACUGUAGACUCCUCAUACAUCAUCGUGUUGAGUCUUCAAAACAAACCUAUGAGGCUGGAGUGCAGCAGCGCGAUCUCGGCUCACUGCAACUUCCACCUCCUGGUUUCAAGCAAUUCUCCCGCCUCAGCCUCCCGAGUAGCUGGGAUUACAAGCACCCGCCACCAUGCCCGGCUAAUUUUUAUAUUUUUAGCAGAGGCGGGAUUUCUCCAUGUAGCCCAGGCCGGUCUCGAACUCCUGACCUCAAGUGAUCCACCCACCUCAGCCUCCCAAAGUGCUGGGAUUACAGGUGUGAGCCACCAUGCCCCGCCAGCCAUCAGAGUUUUAUAGCAAGAAUUUUUACCUUUGUCCUUAGUGCAAUGGGAAAUCCUUGAAACGCUAUUAUUGCCUUCCUCUGCAAGGAAAGGUUAUUUUGGUGAGCAGUGGAUAGAGGAAAUGCAGAGGGAGCCACUAAAGGGUUCUGGUGAGAUCUGGAGCCCUGCUGGGAUAAUCUGACCAGAGAAAGCAAAGAUUCCAGAGAGCUAGGCACACUUGCCCUACCUCCAGCUGCACACAGCUGGUUCCAGCUUUGUCCUGACCUUCAGUCUGGCAUACAGGGUAGACCCACUGGUACCUGGUACCUCACUCUGGGGGUGAGGUGGCCACCCACCUAGGUCUGGGUCCUGUAGCAGUUUGGCAGCAACAUCUGGGUGAUAAGAGAAGGCGAUUUGACCUACUCCCAGGGACAAGAAGCUUUGACUCUUCAAGAUCAUAAAGUCUUCCCUCCUGGCCUUGGGUCCUCCUGUUGCGGGAGAGGUGAGGUGGGGUGAGGGUCCUCCGGGAGGGCAGGCUUGGCAGAGCCCAGCACCAUCUCAGCAGACACUGCUCUUCUCCUACUCUCAGCACCUCCAAGGCAGUGAGUGGCUUUCUCUUGUCUAGAGGACAAAAUCCGUUCCUCACCUGGACACAAUGAACCUGUCUGUGGGAUUUAGGGAGCAUCAAGGAGGGAAUUUAGUUUCCGCAGACUUCAAGGAAGACUUUCUGGAGGAGGUGAUGCCUGAGAGCUAUCCAGGAGAGAAGAGUGAAAAAAUGUUAAGCAGUGGAAAAACAUGAACCAAACUGUGGCUGCAUCUUCCCAUAGGGCAACAGGGACUUAGCGCGUGCAAUCAAGGAUCUCCAGAUGGGGAUAACCCAGGUGUGCCCAACCUAAUCUCAGUGUCCUUGGAAGAGGGAUGCAGAAGGAGUCAGAAUCAGAGAAGAAGGUGACACGAUGAAGGAAUCCGAAAUUAGAGUGAUGCUCUUUGAAGAUGGAGGAAGGGACCACAAGCUGAGAAAUAGAGGUGGCCACUAGACACUGAAAAAGGCAAGGAAGUGGAUUCUCCCCUGGAGCCUCCAGAAGGAACCAGCUCUGCCGACACCUUGACAUUAGCCCAUUGAGACUGAUUUAAGGGCUGCUGGCCUCCAGAAUUGUAAGAGAAUAAACGUGUGUUGUUUAAGGCCCUUGGUUAGUAGCGAUUUGCUACAGCAGCUGCAGAAACCUAAUAAGUAUAGGUUCCACCUAGAGACGCAGAACUAGCCAGCGGCCGAUCCUGCUCCGGGACCCUGCAGGCCCCAGCUCUA